GACGCUACGGACUUAAAAAAUCCGUCGACUUUUAAAAUCGUGAGGGUUCAAGUCCCUCUAUCCCCA
Molecule: transfer RNA, 66 nt
Filed under: Cruckshanksia pumila
Lineage: Eukaryota; Viridiplantae; Streptophyta; Magnoliopsida; Gentianales; Rubiaceae
Also listed under: 1 other name
Description: partial tRNA-Leu
Source: RNAcentral